GACCCUGACAAGUGUACCAGAUCGUUAUAAAGUAAUAUAAAAUGGGUAAGUGCAAGUAUCGUUUCCCAAAGGACUCUUAGGCUUUACUUUUCAUGUAAACCAAUCACAUAAGACUUGAGAAGAAAUUAAUUUUGGGUUUUUAAUGCAAAAACAAAAGUAAACAUGCAAAUGCAGUGAAUCAAUUGGCUAAAGAGACUAUGAACGAAUGGAGUUGUUGGAAUUUACAAUUUCAUCUUAUCCACCCUCUUAUAUCUACUUUUCUUAUCUAAUUUUCUUAUUUAUCAAAUUGUCAUGAAAAUUUUCUUGGUCUACCCUUAACCCAAUUCCUUGGCGAAAAGAGCCUAUUACUAAUUACCAGCUUGCUAUCCCUAGCCUCCCCUAGCAAUUAAUAAUGCAUGAUAAACAGAAGCAAAAUAUAAUUGAUCGUCUUACCCCUAUUCCUAGGCAGUAUUAGCAUAAUCAAGGAAUUCCCCCCAGUUCAUGACAUUACUGUACGUUCCCGUAUCAAUAAAGACAAACAACAUUUAUCGAAUGAGUUAAACGAUAAAAGCAUUAAGCAAAGGUAAGGAACCCAACAAUUCAU
Molecule: long non-coding RNA, 583 nt
Filed under: Vigna radiata
Lineage: Eukaryota; Viridiplantae; Streptophyta; Magnoliopsida; Fabales; Fabaceae
Description: long non-coding RNA (VRAD_LNC013037)
Source: RNAcentral